CCUACGGGAGGCAGCAGUAGGGAAUCUUCCACAAUGGGCGAAAGCCUGAUGGAGCAACGCCGCGUGGGUGAAGAAGGUCUUCGGAUCGUAAAACCCUGUUGUUAGAGAAGAAAGUGCGUGAGAGUAACUGUUCACGUUUCGACGGUAUCUAACCAGACAGCCACGGCUCACUACGUGCCAGCAGCCGCGGUAAUACGUAGGUGGCAAGCGUUAUCCGGAUUUAUUGGGCGUAAAGGGAACGCAGGCGGUCUUUUAAGUCUGAUGUGAAAGCCUUCGGCUUAACCGGAGUAGUGCAUUGGAAACUGGGAGACUUGAGUGCAGAAGAGGUGAGUGGAACUCCAUGUGUAGCGGUGAAAUGCGUAGAUAUAUGGAAGAACACCAGUGGCGAAAGCGGCUCUCUGGGCUGUAACUGACGCUGAGGUUCGAAAGCGUGGGUAGCAAACAGGAUUAGAUACCCGAGUAGUC
RNAcentral lists this ribosomal RNA (465 nucleotides) under uncultured bacterium. RNAcentral's name for it is "partial 16S ribosomal RNA". It matches the Rfam family "Bacterial small subunit ribosomal RNA", at positions 338 to 795 of the family's 1533-position model. The record is from RNAcentral.